This 704-nucleotide ribosomal RNA is filed under the name Arthrobacter sp. RNAcentral's name for it is "bacterial SSU rRNA". It matches the Rfam family "Bacterial small subunit ribosomal RNA", at positions 487 to 1174 of the family's 1533-position model. Lineage: Bacteria; Bacillati; Actinomycetota; Actinomycetes; Micrococcales; Micrococcaceae. The record is from RNAcentral.
AAGGCCGCCGGCCUAAUUACGUGCCAGCAAGCCGCGGGUAAUAGGUAGGGCGGCAAGGCGGUUAUCCCGGAAAUUAUUGGGGCGGUAAAGAGCUUCGUAGGCGGUUGUCGCGUCUGCCCGUGAAAGUCCCGGGGCUCAAACUCCGGAUCUGCGGUGGGUACGGGCAGACUAGAGUGAUGUAGGGGAGACUGGAAUUCCUGGUGUAGCGGUGAAAUGCGCAGAUAUCAGGAGGAACACCGAUGGCGAAGGCAGGUCUCUGGGCAUUAACUGACGCUGAGGAGCGAAAGCAUGGGGAGCGAACAGGAUUAGAUACCCCUGGUAGUCCAUGCCGUAAACGUUGGGCACUAGGUGUGGGGGACAUUCCACGUUUUCCGCGCCGUAGCUAACGCAUUAAGUGCCCCGCCUGGGGAGUACGGCCGCAAGGCUAAAACUCAAAGGAAUUGACGGGGGCCCGCACAAGCGGCGGAGCAUGCGGAUUAAUUCGAUGCAACGCGAAGAACCUUACCAAGGCUUGACAUGGACUGGAAAUACCUGGAAACAGGUGCCCCGCUUGCGGUCGGUUCACAGGUGGUGCAUGGUUGUCGUCAGCUCGUGUCGUGAGAUGUUGGGUUAAGUCCCGCAACGAGCGCAACCCUCGUUCUAUGUUGCCAGCGCGUGAUGGCGGGGACUCAUAGGAGACUGCCGGGGUCAACUCGGAGGAAGGU